CGCAAGCGCAAAUAAAGCUCAGUCUUGUAUGUGCAGAAAGGUUUUAAGCAAACCAAAAAUACCGGAUCUUGAGGACUUGCAGUGAACGCAAAGAUAUAGCAAAAUCAAACACCACUCACGAAUGUCGCAUCGUUAAAAUUGAAGAGGAUUAGAGUUCAACAUGGCGACGAGAACACACCAAAUGUAAAGCCUAGACCACAGAAGGGAAUUUCAAUAAAAUCCUAGAAAUUUUCCUUGUGUUUGAAAAAUAGACUAGACCUGAAUUUGCCACCAUUUCAAGUACGUGUGUCUUGGAAGCAAUUGUGAAUGUUGUAUGCUUUUAGUAUACCGAGGAGGCACCUGCCAAGAAAAUAAAGCACAAAGUGAUUAACAUGUUCAGUUUUGUAACUUCACAGAAGGUGUCAAAGUCAAAUGUGCUGAAUAUGCUCAUAUUUUUGCACAAAUGAAAGAGAAAAGAAGGUGAAGUCCCUGGAGUUGCAGGUCUAUGCUAAGAACUUAAGGUCCAUGGAAAAGAUGGAAAAUGUCGAGCUCAUCUUGGAACAAGGACAGUAAACAAGGACUUUCAUUUAGGAUAUUCAUAGAAGAAUAAUGGCCAAUUUUUUUGGAAAGGACAUGCCUGAAUCGUGAAUAGAAGUUUUACAAGUAAAUUUUCCAUUGUUCCAUGUCGCCUAUUUAGGUGAAUCAUUUGGGGGGAGGAGAUGUUAGUUAAUCAUAUCUCAAUUUACAGGGGUUAAAGAGAAUGGAUCCGACUGUGAGCAUGAUGAUGCAACCUACCAACCUUUACCUUUUGCUGAGCUCUUUUGAUAGCAAAGAAUUCAAUCUCACUUAUCGGCUUUCUGCAGGCAAAAUCAGUUUCUUUUCCAAUUGGGCUGUCAUUGGAGUUCUGCAAUUGCUCUUUGUUGCCGAGAUAAUCAACUGAGGUAAGCUAUGCCUAUAGUACCAACUAGUACUUCGCACGGGAGAAGCCUCCACCCAGCAACAGACGUCUUUUCCAUUCGUUAGUUAAGUACUGAAGAAGGUGAAAAACAUUGGAAGGCUUUCGAAACACGUGUUAUUGAGCAUAAUGUCCUCAUCGUGGCCAAACACUACACGCGUGUGGCAAUGCAAAGGAUGAUUUCAUCCGUGAUUUUUCUAUUGAGGAACACAGAAGAAUAUCUAAUGUGGUGUACAGUUAAACUGUAACAUCGUGCGUCGGCAUUGACCCGAUUUUUAAAACCUUUUUAAGGAGAUUAGGUCCUCGAUUACUGCUGAUAUACAGGUCAAAGAUGAAAUAGCGUUAUUUAUAGAUAUUCUUUCGGGUAAUAUAAGUUUUUCGCAUUUCAGCCAACAGAUGUCGACCCUACCGCUUUUGUGUCGGUGACUCGAGAGGACGUUCUGCUCUUGGAUCUGACGAAUUGUGGAUAUGAAUGUACAAAAUCUUUGAUGACUGGAUUUGACACUCAGAACUGUUCCUGUUAGAAAGUGGAUCGAGGCUGAUGCAUACUUUCUUGUCAUAAUGCAAGAGAAAUAGGGUAAAGUUGCUGAAGCUGCAGACAUUCUCCAAGAACGUCUGUUCAAGACCGAUGAUUCUAUGGAAAAGCUAGAAAAUUGAACAGGUUGAGCUUAUCCUGAAAUGAAUGAGAUUGUUUUUUCUUCAUCUGCACUCAGAUCAUUUUGAAGAAGAUAAGUGUCAGAUUUGUUUUUAGAGAAACAUGUGCU
Molecule: long non-coding RNA, 1698 nt
Organism: Daphnia carinata
Lineage: Eukaryota; Metazoa; Arthropoda; Branchiopoda; Diplostraca; Daphniidae
Exons: 10
Source: RefSeq, a predicted model, not a curated record